AAUGAACGCUGGCGGCAGGCCUAACACAUGCAAGUCGAACGGGUCCUUCGGGACUAGUGGCGGACGGGUGAGUAACGCGUGGGAACGUGCCCCUUGGUACGGAAUAGCCCCGGGAAACUGGGAGUAAUACCGUAUGUGGUCGAGAGACGAAAGAUUUAUCGCCAAAGGAUCGGCCCGCGUUGGAUUAGGUAGUUGGUGGGGUAAUGGCCUACCAAGCCGACGAUCCAUAGCUGGUUUGAGAGGAUGAUCAGCCACACUGGGACUGAGACACGGCCCAGACUCCUACGGGAGGCAGCAGUGGGGAAUCUUAGACAAUGGGCGCAAGCCUGAUCUAGCCAUGCCGCGUGAGCGAUGAAGGCCUUAGGGUUGUAAAGCUCUUUCAGUGGGGAAGAUAAUGACUGUACCCACAGAAGAAGCCCCGGCUAACUCCGUG
RNAcentral lists this ribosomal RNA (433 nucleotides) under uncultured bacterium. RNAcentral's name for it is "bacterial SSU rRNA". It matches the Rfam family "Bacterial small subunit ribosomal RNA", at positions 29 to 507 of the family's 1533-position model. The record is from RNAcentral.